Molecule: ribosomal RNA, 254 nt
Filed under: uncultured bacterium
Lineage: Bacteria
Description: partial 16S ribosomal RNA
Rfam family: Bacterial small subunit ribosomal RNA
Source: RNAcentral
UACAGAGGGGGCAAGCGUUAUUCGGAAUUAUUGGGCGUAAAGGGCGCGUAGGCGGCUUGGCAAGUGGAAGGUGAAAUCCCUCGGCUUAACCGAGGAACUGCCUUCCAGACUGCUUUGCUUGAGGCCGGGAGAGGCGAGUGGAAUUCCCAGUGUAGCGGUGAAAUGCGUAGAUAUUGGGAGGAACACCAGUGGCGAAGGCGGCUCGCUGGACCGGAACUGACGCUGAGGCGCGAAAGCGUGGGGAGCAAACAGGG